RNAcentral lists this ribosomal RNA (523 nucleotides) under uncultured bacterium. RNAcentral's name for it is "partial 16S ribosomal RNA". It matches the Rfam family "Bacterial small subunit ribosomal RNA", at positions 29 to 523 of the family's 1533-position model. The record is from RNAcentral.
AAUGAACGUUGGUGGUAUGCUUAACACAUGCAAGUCGUACGAGAAAUUUCUAAGCUUGCUUAGAGAAAGUAAAGUGGCGUACGGGUGAGUAAUAUAUGGAUAAUCUACCUUCAAAUUGGGGAUAACACUACGAAAGUGGUGCUAAUACCGAAUGACAUUUAUGAAACUUAUGUUUUAUAAAUUAAAGAUGGCCUCUGUAUAUGCUAUUGUCUGAAGAUGAGUUCAUAUACCAUUAGCUUGUUGGUAAGGUAACGGCUUACCAAGGCUACGAUGGUUAGCUGGUCUGAGAGGAUGAUCAGCCCCACUGGAACUGACACACGGUCCAGACUCCUACGGGAGGCAGCAGUGAGGAAUUUUGCGCAAUGGGGGAAACCCUGACGCAGCGAUACCACGUGAGUGAUGAAGGCUUUCGGGUCGUAAAGCUCUGUCGAUUGGAAAGAAAUGAAUAAAGGCUAAUAUCCUUUAUUUUUGACGGUACCAAUGAAGGAAGCACCGGCUAACUCCGUGCCAGCAGCCGCCGUAA